RNAcentral lists this ribosomal RNA (1195 nucleotides) under Bacillus halotolerans. RNAcentral's name for it is "bacterial SSU rRNA". It matches the Rfam family "Bacterial small subunit ribosomal RNA", at positions 38 to 1222 of the family's 1533-position model. The record is from RNAcentral. Lineage: Bacteria; Bacillati; Bacillota; Bacilli; Caryophanales; Bacillaceae.
UGCUGCCCGUGCCUAUUGCAAGUCGAGCGGAGAUGGGAGCUUGCUCCCUGAUGUUAGCGGCGGACGGGUGAGUAACACGUGGGUAACCUGCCUGUAAGACUGGGAUAACUCCGGGAAACCGGGGCUAAUACCGGAUGCUUGUUUGAACCGCAUGGUUCAAACAUAAAAGGUGGCUUCGGCUACCACUUACAGAUGGACCCGCGGCGCAUUAGCUAGUUGGUGAGGUAAUGGCUCACCAAGGCAACGAUGCGUAGCCGACCUGAGAGGGUGAUCGGCCACACUGGGACUGAGACACGGCCCAGACUCCUACGGGAGGCAGCAGUAGGGAAUCUUCCGCAAUGGACGAAAGUCUGACGGAGCAACGCCGCGUGAGUGAUGAAGGUUUUCGGAUCGUAAAGCUCUGUUGUUAGGGAAGAACAAGUACCGUUCGAAUAGGGCGGUACCUUGACGGUACCUAACCAGAAAGCCACGGCUAACUACGUGCCAGCAGCCGCGGUAAUACGUAGGUGGCAAGCGUUGUCCGGAAUUAUUGGGCGUAAAGGGCUCGCAGGCGGUUCCUUAAGUCUGAUGUGAAAGCCCCCGGCUCAACCGGGGAGGGUCAUUGGAAACUGGGGAACUUGAGUGCAGAAGAGGAGAGUGGAAUUCCACGUGUAGCGGUGAAAUGCGUAGAGAUGUGGAGGAACACCAGUGGCGAAGGCGACUCUCUGGUCUGUAACUGACGCUGAGGAGCGAAAGCGUGGGGAGCGAACAGGAUUAGAUACCCUGGUAGUCCACGCCGUAAACGAUGAGUGCUAAGUGUUAGGGGGUUUCCGCCCCUUAGUGCUGCAGCUAACGCAUUAAGCACUCCGCCUGGGGAGUACGGUCGCAAGACUGAAACUCAAAGGAAUUGACGGGGGCCCGCACAAGCGGUGGAGCAUGUGGUUUAAUUCAAGCAACGCAAACCUUACCAGGUCUUGACAUCCUCUGACAAUCCUAGAUAGGACGUCCCCUUCGGGGGCAGAUGACAGGUGCAUGGGUCGUCAGCUCGUGUCGUGAGAUGUUGGGUAAGUCCCGCAACGAGCGCACCCUUGUAUCCAGCAUUCAUUGGACUCUAGGACUGGGAAAGGAGGGUGACUCAAAUCAUUGCCCCUUAGACGGCUGCUAAGAAAAGGCGAAUCCCAAUCUCUCAUUGUCUCUGCAUGUAGGUCUUCCCCUA